UCCCGCGUAGCUCAGUGGUAGAGCGACCGGCUGUUAACCGGUUGGCCGUAGGUUCGAGUCCUACCGCGGGAGCCA
RNAcentral lists this transfer RNA (75 nucleotides) under Chloroflexota bacterium. RNAcentral's name for it is "Chloroflexi bacterium tRNA-Asn". It matches the Rfam family "tRNA". Rfam says of the family: Transfer RNA (tRNA) molecules are approximately 80 nucleotides in length. Their secondary structure includes four short double-helical elements and three loops (D, anti-codon, and T loops). Lineage: Bacteria; Bacillati; Chloroflexota. RNAcentral also lists the same sequence under 1 other name. The record is from RNAcentral.